Molecule: ribosomal RNA, 978 nt
Filed under: Triticum aestivum (bread wheat)
Lineage: Eukaryota; Viridiplantae; Streptophyta; Magnoliopsida; Poales; Poaceae
Description: partial small subunit ribosomal RNA
Source: RNAcentral
AUGGACGACUCGAACAUGUUCAUCCAGUGGGCCAUGGAGACGCUGGAGCAGGAGCAGGACGCCGCCGCCGCCGCCGGAGACGUUUUCCCGUCAUCACUCCUAGAGUUCGACAACCCGGCGGAGCUGCAGAACGGCACGCACAUGGCGGCCCACCGACACGGAGCCACCGACAGCUGGAGCUCAGGCGACAGUGGCGCUGCGGUGGCCGUGGAGAACGACGGCUGGUCGUCCAACUGCAGCACCAACUACCCGGCCGCGAGCCUGGAACUUCACCUCGGCCAUACCGCAGCCGCCCAGCAUUAUCGAGGCCACCCCGAGCCCACCCGCAGCUCCCGGCCACGUCGUGCUGGAGCUGGCGCACAGGAACACGUCGUGGCGGAGCGGAAGCGCCGGGAGAAGAUCAACCGACGCUUCAUCGAGCUCUCCACCGUCAUCCCCGGCCUCAAGAAGAUGGACAAGGCGACCAUCCUGUCGGACGCCCUGAGGUACGUCAAGGAGCAGCAGGAGAAGCUCAAGGCACUCCAGGACCGUGACGUGAGGAGCAUCGACUCCGUGGUGCUAGUGAAGAGGCCGUGCAUCUCCAACAGCGAUGAUGGCUUCCCGUCACCGCCGCCGUCAGCAGCAGGUGGAGGAGGUCUGACCACGACAAUGAUUCCAUUGCCGGAGAUCGAGGCGAGGAUCUCGGAGAGCAAUGUGAUGAUGAGGAUCCACUGCCAGGACGGCAAAGGGGUCCUUGUCACGUUGCUCGCCGAGGUCGAGGGGCUCCACCUUAGCAUCACACACACCAAUGUCGUGUCUUUCCCGGCUUCCACUCUGAUCAUAAACCUCAUGGCGAAGGCAAGAAAAUGUGAGCACCAACGCCAAAUCUAUAACUUGAACCCUGCUGGCCGGGUAGACGAGGGCUUCACUGUCGCAGCGGACGAUAUUGUAUGGAAGCUCGACUCUGCUUUGCGCCGACAUCAUAGCGGCAAAGGAUAG